GACGAAGGGGGCUAGCGUUGUUCGGAAUUACUGGGCGUAAAGGGCGCGUAGGCGGCCUGCUAAGUCGAACGUGAAAUCCCUGGGCUCAACCCAGGAACUGCGUCCGAUACUGGUUGGCUUGAAUCCGGGAGAGGGAUGUGGAAUUCCAGGUGUAGCGGUGAAAUGCGUAGAUAUCUGGAGGAACACCGGUGGCGAAGGCGACAUCCUGGACCGGCAUUGACGCUGAGGCGCGAAAGCCAGGGGAGCAAACGGG
This 253-nucleotide ribosomal RNA is filed under the name uncultured bacterium. RNAcentral's name for it is "partial 16S ribosomal RNA". It matches the Rfam family "Bacterial small subunit ribosomal RNA", at positions 524 to 776 of the family's 1533-position model. The record is from RNAcentral.